RNAcentral lists this unclassified non-coding RNA (345 nucleotides) under soil metagenome. RNAcentral describes it as "partial contains 5.8S ribosomal RNA, internal transcribed spacer 2, and large subunit ribosomal RNA". The stretch from base 1 to 120 matches the Rfam family "5.8S ribosomal RNA", at positions 35 to 154 of the family's 154-position model. The record is from RNAcentral.
GAUGAAGAACGCAGCGAAAUGCGAUACGUAAUGUGAAUUGUAGAAUUCAGUGAAUCAUCGAGUCUUUGAACGCACAUUGCGCCCCCUGGUAUUCCGGGGGGCAUGCCUGUCCGAGCGUCAUUGCUGCCCUCAAGCACGGCUUGUGUGUUGGGCCUCCGUCCUCCUCCCGGGGGACGGGCCCGAAAGGCAGCGGCGGCACCGCGUCCGGUCCUCGAGCGUAUGGGGCUUCGUCACCCGCUCUUGUAGGCCCGGCCGGCGCUUGCCGACACAUCAAUCUUUUUUCCAGGUUGACCUCGGAUCAGGUAGGGAUACCCGCUGAACUUAAGCAUAUCAAUAGGCGGAGGA